GCCUGGGUGGCUCAGUCAGUUGAGCAUCUGACUUCAGCUCAGGUCAUGAUCUCACGGCUUGUGAGUUCAAGCCCCACAUUGGGCC
RNAcentral lists this transfer RNA (85 nucleotides) under Felis catus (domestic cat). It matches the Rfam family "tRNA". From Rfam's summary of the family: Transfer RNA (tRNA) molecules are approximately 80 nucleotides in length. Their secondary structure includes four short double-helical elements and three loops (D, anti-codon, and T loops). Further hydrogen bonds mediate the characteristic L-shaped molecular structure. tRNAs have two regions of fundamental functional importance: the anti-codon, which is responsible for specific mRNA codon recognition, and the 3' end, to which the tRNAs corresponding amino acid is attached (by aminoacyl-tRNA synthetases). tRNAs cope with the degeneracy of the genetic code in two manners: having more than one tRNA (with a specific anti-codon) for a particular amino acid; and 'wobble' base-pairing, i.e. permitting non-standard base-pairing at the 3rd anti-codon position. The record is from Rfam by way of RNAcentral. Lineage: Eukaryota; Metazoa; Chordata; Mammalia; Carnivora; Felidae.